UCUGAAGGUUUCGAAAUUACC
RNAcentral lists this non-coding RNA (21 nucleotides) under Caenorhabditis elegans. The record is from RNAcentral. Lineage: Eukaryota; Metazoa; Nematoda; Chromadorea; Rhabditida; Rhabditidae.